RNAcentral lists this ribosomal RNA (476 nucleotides) under uncultured bacterium. Its description in RNAcentral is "bacterial SSU rRNA". It matches the Rfam family "Bacterial small subunit ribosomal RNA", at positions 29 to 524 of the family's 1533-position model. The record is from RNAcentral.
AUUGAACGCUGGCGGCAGGCCUAACACAUGCAAGUCGAGCGGUAACGCGGGGCAACCUGGCGACGAGUGGCGAACGGGUGAGUAAUGCAUCGGAACGUGCCCAGUAGUGGGGGAUAGCCCGGCGAAAGCCGGAUUAAUACCGCAUACGACCUACGGGUGAAAGCGGGGGACUCGCAAGAGCCUCGCGCUAUUGGAGCGGCCGAUGUCAGAUUAGGUAGUUGGUGGGGUAAAAGCCUACCAAGCCGACGAUCUGUAGCUGGUCUGAGAGGACGACCAGCCACACUGGGACUGAGACACGGCCCAGACUCCUACGGGAGGCAGCAGUGGGGAAUCUUGGACAAUGGGCGCAAGCCUGAUCCAGCCAUGCCGCGUGAGUGAAGAAGGUCUUCGGAUUGUAAAGCUCUUUUGCCAGGGACGAUAAUGACGGUACCUGGAGAAUAAGCCCCGGCAAACUUCGUGCCAGCAGCCGCGGUAAU